Molecule: long non-coding RNA, 326 nt
Filed under: Betta splendens (Siamese fighting fish)
Lineage: Eukaryota; Metazoa; Chordata; Actinopteri; Anabantiformes; Osphronemidae
Description: lncRNA (ENSBSLG00000005370.1)
Source: RNAcentral
CACAAUGCAAAUACGAAGUGUGAGGGAGCCGCCUUGGCAAGCAGUGACAGGGGGCUUUGUAAGCGGGUGGGUGUGCCACUACCCCUCCUCAUAAGUCACCCGAAAGCCUGGUCCUCGGUCCUCCUCGCUCCCGCGCCGUGGACCCAGAGGCAGCGUCCCAGUGUAGAUGCAGCGCCCACGCGCGCCGCCCUCGCCAGCUCCCAGAAGUCUUUGUGGCGAACCACUGACCGUGCUACUCCCUAUUUUUCCUCCAGCCCAGCAAAUAAUGUGUCAGAAAAAGAUUAUUGAUAGCCCAUAAAAGAGCAUCCAGAAUGUUGUUGCCUCUC